GAAGCGGGAACCGGGCACGGCCAAGGCCGGUCAGACCCGGGGUGCCUCACCGAAAGGUGAGGCGGCA
Non-coding RNA from Frankia sp., 67 nucleotides. The record is from Rfam. NCBI's taxonomy places the organism in Bacteria, Bacillati, Actinomycetota, Actinomycetes, Frankiales, Frankiaceae.